This 416-nucleotide ribosomal RNA is filed under the name uncultured bacterium. Its description in RNAcentral is "bacterial SSU rRNA". It matches the Rfam family "Bacterial small subunit ribosomal RNA", at positions 1 to 424 of the family's 1533-position model. The record is from RNAcentral.
UUAGAGUUUGAUCAUGGCUCAGGACGAACGCUGGCGGCGUGCUUAACACAUGCAAGUCGAACGGAAAGGCCCCUUCGGGGGUGCUCGAGUGGCGAACGGGUGAGUAACACGUGGGUGAUCUGCCCUGCACUUCGGGAUAAGCUUGGGAAACUGGGUCUAAUACCGGAUAGGACCACGGCCUGCAUGGGUUGUGGUGGAAAGCUUUUGCGGUGUGGGAUGGGCCCGCGGCCUAUCAGCUUGUUGGUGGGGUGAUGGCCUACCAAGGCGACGACGGGUAGCCGGCCUGAGAGGGUGUCCGGCCACACUGGGACUGAGAUACGGCCCAGACUCCUACGGGAGGCAGCAGUGGGGAAUAUUGCACAAUGGGCGCAAGCCUGAUGCAGCGACGCCGCGUGGGGGAUGACGGCCUUCGGGCG